Molecule: ribosomal RNA, 497 nt
Filed under: uncultured bacterium
Lineage: Bacteria
Description: partial 16S ribosomal RNA
Rfam family: Bacterial small subunit ribosomal RNA
Source: RNAcentral
GAUGAACGCUGGCGGCGUGCCUAAUACAUGCAAGUCGAGCGAACGGACGAGAAGCUUGCUUCUCUGAUGUUAGCGGCGGACGGGUGAGUAACACGUGGAUAACCUACCUAUAAGACUGGGAUAACUUCGGGAAACCGGAGCUAAUACCGGAUAAUAUUUUGAACCGCAUGGUUCAAAAGUGAAAGACGGUCUUGCUGUCACUUAUAGAUGGAUCCGCGCUGCAUUAGCUAGUUGGUAAGGUAACGGCUUACCAAGGCAACGAUGCAUAGCCGACCUGAGAGGGUGAUCGGCCACACUGGAACGGGGACACGGUCCAGACUCCUACGGGAGGCAGCAGUAGGGAAUCUUCCGCAAUGGGCGAAAGCAUGACGGAGCAACGCCGCGUGAGUGAUGAAGGUCUUCGGAUCGUAAAACUCUGUUAUUAGGGAAGAACAUAUGUGUAAGUAACUGUGCACAUCUUGACGGUACCUAAUCAGAAAGCCACGGCUAACUACGUG